CAUAUAAUUACUGGGCAAUUACUUCUUUGGCAGUUGGCCACUCGAUGACUGCAUGCAACAAAAUGCAGCAAAAGAUAUUUCCAUUGAAGUAAGCUCACUGCCAAAGGAGAUUUGCCCGGCAAUUCACCU
RNAcentral lists this microRNA precursor (129 nucleotides) under Jatropha curcas. RNAcentral's name for it is "mir-399 microRNA precursor family". It matches the Rfam family "mir-399 microRNA precursor family". Rfam says of the family: mir-399 was identified in both Arabidopsis thaliana and Oryza sativa computationally and was later experimentally verified. mir-399 is thought to target mRNAs coding for a phosphatase transporter. The mature sequence is excised from the 3' arm of the hairpin. The record is from Rfam by way of RNAcentral. Lineage: Eukaryota; Viridiplantae; Streptophyta; Magnoliopsida; Malpighiales; Euphorbiaceae.